RNAcentral lists this ribosomal RNA (459 nucleotides) under uncultured soil bacterium. RNAcentral's name for it is "bacterial SSU rRNA". It matches the Rfam family "Bacterial small subunit ribosomal RNA", at positions 26 to 474 of the family's 1533-position model. The record is from RNAcentral.
AGAUUGAACGCUGGCGGCAGGCCUAACACAUGCAAGUCGAGCGGUAGAGAGGUGCUUGCAUCUCUUGAGAGCGGCGGACGGGUGAGUAAUGCCUAGGAAUCUGCCUAGUGGUGGGGGAUAACGUUCGGAAACGGACGCUAAUACCGCAUACGUCCUACGGGAGAAAGCGGGGGACCUUCGGGCCUCGCGCCAUUAGAUGAGCCUAGGUCGGAUUAGCUAGUUGGUGAGGUAAUGGCUCACCAAGGCGACGAUCCGUAACUGGUCUGAGAGGAUGAUCAGUCACACCGGAACUGAGACACGGUCCGGACUCCGUACGGGAGGCAGCGAGUGGGGAAUAGUUGGAACAAGUGGGCGCGAAGCCUGAUCCAGCAAUGCCGCGUGUGUAGGAAGAAGGUCCGUUAGGGUUGUAAGACCUAAGUUUAAGUUAGGGUAAAAGAAAAAACCGUACGACUACUAACC